CUAUAUUUAUUUAAACAUGAAUAUCUAACAAAUCUUUAGCACCAUUAUAGAUUUACUUAUUGCAGAUAGCACUAAAGAUGCUAAAGCGGAUCAACCUAUCAACUACACACUUACCUUGAACCGUAUGAAGCAACCAAAGCUGAUUUCCAACACUAAACCUGACAUAACCGCUUGUCUUGGGGCUUGGUAUACAUGGGAUCGGAUUCUUCAGACAGUUCUGGAAGGUAACGCCUGGUUUAGAUUAUUUAUCACAUUUUCUCUCUCUAAAUUUCGACACUAGAUUAGUUAGUAAGUAUUAAAAAAAAUAAUAAUAAUAAUAAUAAAAUAAUAAAAAAAUAUAAAUAAGGUCUAUUGUUUAAUUAGGAUGAGUCUGAACAGGACUUGGUGGCUAAAAUCAUUAAGGCUUGAUUCAUAAAGACUCAAAUAAAAGAGUUCGAAACAGGACUUGGAGGCGGCAAUCUUCAAGGCUCGCUUUCGCAAAGAACUCUUGGAUAUAGGUCAAAAAGAAGUGUACAGAACUUGGUGGCAACCACCAUUAAGUUUUGAUUCAUGGAAGCCUGUUCAAUCUUGG
This 571-nucleotide long non-coding RNA is filed under the name Brassica rapa (field mustard). RNAcentral describes it as "long non-coding RNA (BRAP_LNC007634)". Lineage: Eukaryota; Viridiplantae; Streptophyta; Magnoliopsida; Brassicales; Brassicaceae. The record is from RNAcentral.